This 253-nucleotide ribosomal RNA is filed under the name uncultured bacterium. RNAcentral describes it as "partial 16S ribosomal RNA". It matches the Rfam family "Bacterial small subunit ribosomal RNA", at positions 524 to 776 of the family's 1533-position model. The record is from RNAcentral.
UACGUAGGGUGCGAGCGUUAAUCGGAAUUACUGGGCGUAAAGCGUGCGCAGGCGGUUCGUCGUGUCCGAUGUGAAAGCCCCGGGCUCAACCUGGGAAUGGCAUUGGAAACUGGCGGACUCGAGUGUGGCAGAGGGGGGUGGAAUCCCGCGUGUAGCAGUGAAAUGCGUAGAGAUGCGGAGGAACACCGAUGGCGAAGGCAGCCCCCUGGGCUAACACUGACGCUCAGGCACGAAAGCGUGGGGAGCAAACAGG